Molecule: ribosomal RNA, 308 nt
Filed under: uncultured Pantoea sp.
Lineage: Bacteria; Pseudomonadati; Pseudomonadota; Gammaproteobacteria; Enterobacterales; Erwiniaceae
Description: bacterial SSU rRNA
Rfam family: Bacterial small subunit ribosomal RNA
Source: RNAcentral
AUCUGCCCGAUAUAGGGGGAUAACCACUGGUAAACGGUGGCUAAUACCGUAUAACGUCGGAACACCAAAGAGGGGGACCUUCUGGCCUCUCACUAUCGGAUGAACCCAGAUGGGAUUAGCUUGUAGGCGGGGUAAUGGCCCACCUAGGCGACUAUCCCUAUCUGGUCUGAGAGGAUGACCAGCCACACUGGAACUGAGACACGGUCCAGACUCCUACGGGAGGCACAGUGGGGAAUAUUGCACAAUGGGCGGAGGCCUGAUGCACCAUGCCGCGUGUAUUAAGAAGGGCUUCUGUUUGUAAAUUACUU